AAUGAACGCUGGCGGCGUGUCUUAAGCAUGCAAGUCGUGCGGCAAGGGUAGCAAUACCCCUAGAGCGGCGGACUGGUGAGUAACGCGUGGGUGAUCUGCCCUUGGGUUGGGGAUAGCCAUUAGAAAUAGUGGGUAAUACCGAAUACGAUGGAGAGACUGUGGUCUUGUGAUGAAAGGCGGUUCGGCGCCACCCGAGGAGGAGCCCGCGUCCCAUUAGCUAGUUGGUGAGGUAACGGCCCACCAAGGCGAUGAUGGGUAGGCGGCCUGAGAGGGUGUACGCCCACACUGGGACUGAGAUACGGCCCAGACUCCUACGGGAGGCAGCAGCUAAGAAUAUUCCGCAAUGGACGAAAGUCUGACGGAGCGACGCCGCGUGGAUGACGAAGGCCGAAAGGUUGUAAAAUCCUUUUGUUGGGGAAGAAUAAGGCUGGGAGGGAAUGCCCGGCUGAUGACAUGAACCGACGAAUAAGUCCCGGCUAACUACGUGCCAGCCGCCGCAGUAA
RNAcentral lists this ribosomal RNA (503 nucleotides) under uncultured bacterium. RNAcentral's name for it is "partial 16S ribosomal RNA". It matches the Rfam family "Bacterial small subunit ribosomal RNA", at positions 29 to 523 of the family's 1533-position model. The record is from RNAcentral.